CGGAUAACUGUACUAUUAUAGUGAUUUGCUUUUCAACAGUUAAUGGUAGCUUUCGAUAGUGCGUGCGUUAGCUGAUAUUCAGCAAAACUCUAGCAUUUAGAAAGUGGCUGUAAUCUGUGAUCUGGUGCAUUUCCUAUCAUUAAAAAGCUCUACGACCCUUACAGAGGUGUGUGUCAGCUCCUACUAUGUAGGAAGACGCGUGCUGUGUUAUGUGACUGUUGAGUUUGGCUGAAAUUACUUUAGCCCGAGAUGCUUUAAGCUUUGGCAGCAUGAAUGUCUAGCAGACUUGUUUAUUCUAGUUUGUGGCGAACAUGAUGUCGUGGUUUGCGUCUUAUGUUUAAUGAUUAAGUACUAGUUAUUCGACCCGUCUUGAAA
Molecule: ribosomal RNA, 375 nt
Filed under: Pergamasus sp. MD-2011
Lineage: Eukaryota; Metazoa; Arthropoda; Arachnida; Mesostigmata; Parasitidae
Description: partial 28S ribosomal RNA
Source: RNAcentral